This 74-nucleotide transfer RNA is filed under the name Bacteroidota bacterium. Its description in RNAcentral is "Bacteroidetes bacterium (wastewater metagenome) tRNA-Met". It matches the Rfam family "tRNA". From Rfam's summary of the family: Transfer RNA (tRNA) molecules are approximately 80 nucleotides in length. Their secondary structure includes four short double-helical elements and three loops (D, anti-codon, and T loops). Further hydrogen bonds mediate the characteristic L-shaped molecular structure. tRNAs have two regions of fundamental functional importance: the anti-codon, which is responsible for specific mRNA codon recognition, and the 3' end, to which the tRNAs corresponding amino acid is attached (by aminoacyl-tRNA synthetases). tRNAs cope with the degeneracy of the genetic code in two manners: having more than one tRNA (with a specific anti-codon) for a particular amino acid; and 'wobble' base-pairing, i.e. permitting non-standard base-pairing at the 3rd anti-codon position. Lineage: Bacteria; Pseudomonadati; Bacteroidota. The record is from RNAcentral.
GGCGGGGUAGCUCAGCUGGUUAGAGCGACGGAAUCAUAAUCCGCAGGUCGUGGGUUCGAAUCCCUCCCCCGCUA